AGGGUAAUAGCUCAGCGGUAGAGCACGUGCUUAGCAUGCACAAGGUCCUGGGUUCAAUCCCUAGUACCUCCA
Molecule: transfer RNA, 72 nt
Organism: Camelus ferus (Wild Bactrian camel)
Lineage: Eukaryota; Metazoa; Chordata; Mammalia; Artiodactyla; Camelidae
Rfam family: tRNA
About the family: Transfer RNA (tRNA) molecules are approximately 80 nucleotides in length. Their secondary structure includes four short double-helical elements and three loops (D, anti-codon, and T loops).
Source: Rfam